This 467-nucleotide ribosomal RNA is filed under the name uncultured bacterium. RNAcentral's name for it is "partial 16S ribosomal RNA". It matches the Rfam family "Bacterial small subunit ribosomal RNA", at positions 28 to 506 of the family's 1533-position model. The record is from RNAcentral.
GACGAACGCUGGCGGCGUGCUUAACACAUGCAAGUCGAACGGAAAGGCCCUGCUUUUGUGGGGUGCUCGAGUGGCGAACGAGUGAGUAACACGUGAGUAACCUGCCCUUGACUUUGGGAUAACUUCAGGAAACUGGGGCUAAUACCGGAUAGGAGCUCCUGCUGCAUGGUGGGGGUUGGAAAGUUUCGGCGGUUGGGGAUGGACUCGCGGCUUAUCAGCUUGUUGGUGGGGUAGUGGCUUACCAAGGCUUUGACGGGUAGCCGGCCUGAGAGGGUGACCGGCCACAUUGGGACUGAGAUACGGCCCAGACUCCUACGGGAGGCAGCAGUGGGGAAUAUUGCACAAUGGGCGGAAGCCUGAUGCAGCAACGCCGCGUGCGGGAUGACGGCCUUCGGGUUGUAAACCGCUUUCGCCUGUGACGAAGCGUGAGUGACGGUAAUGGGUAAAGAAGCACCGGCUAACUACGU